RNAcentral lists this transfer RNA (359 nucleotides) under uncultured Microcystis sp. RNAcentral describes it as "partial 16S-23S ribosomal RNA intergenic spacer". The stretch from base 134 to 207 matches the Rfam family "tRNA". Lineage: Bacteria; Bacillati; Cyanobacteriota; Cyanophyceae; Chroococcales; Microcystaceae. The record is from RNAcentral.
AAAGGGAGACCUAAUUCAGGUAUGGGACGAAAAAAAAGUAGUCCCUACCAAGAAUCAAUCCCAAAAGGUCGGAACGAGGUGUGUGGCUUUCAAACUAGGUUCUGGGUUCAUAAAAGACCUGAAUCAGGAACAAGGGCUAUUAGCUCAGGUGGUUAGAGCGCACCCCUGAUAAGGGUGAGGUCCCUGGUUCGAGUCCAGGAUGGCCCACCUGCACAGGUGGCAAAAACAAGAGAAGCUCCGAAUCAGCACCUUAUCUUACUGACAUAGUAAGAGAGAAUGCUGGCUCUGAGUAAAGAGUCCAGAGGAACCUUGAAAACUGCAUAGAGCUAGGUGAAAAAGCCAAAAAAGAAGACCGCAAG